RNAcentral lists this ribosomal RNA (501 nucleotides) under uncultured bacterium. Its description in RNAcentral is "partial 16S ribosomal RNA". It matches the Rfam family "Bacterial small subunit ribosomal RNA", at positions 30 to 523 of the family's 1533-position model. The record is from RNAcentral.
AUUGAACGCUGGCGGCAGGCUUAACACACGCAAGUCGAGCGGGGGAAGGUAGCUUGCUACUGGACCUAGCGGCGGACGGGUGAGUAAUGCUUAGGAAUCUGCCUAUUAGUGGGGGACAACAUCUCGAAAGGGAUGCUAAUACCGCAUACGUCCUACGGGAGAAAGCAGGGGAUCUUCGGACCUUGCGCUAAUAGAUGAGCCUAAGUCGGAUUAGCUAGUUGGUGGGGUAAAGGCCUACCAAGGCGACGAUCUGUAGCGGGUCUGAGAGGAUGCUCCGCCACACAGGGACUGAAAAACGGGCCAGACUCCUACGGGAGGCAGCAGUGGGGAAUAUUGGACAAUGGGGGGAACCCUGAUCCAGCCGUGCCGCGUGUGUGAAGAAGGCCUUAUGGUUGUAAAGCACUGUAAGCGAGGAGGAGGCUACUCUAGUUAAUACCUAGGGAUAGUGGACGUUACUCGCAGAAUAAGCACCGGCUAACUCUGUGCCAGCAGCCGCCGUAA